AAAAUAGCUUGUGAGAGAGACCACGGUUGAUCUGUGGACAUGUUCAAACAGGGUGUGAAUGAGUUUAUUAGCAAAAAGCUGAAAAUAGCUAUGAGCUGGCUUUUGUCCCUCUUCACAGAGUUUGAAUACCAGGGAGUAGCAAAACUCAAAUGUUCUGCAUGCUGCUGCCUAAGUACCUUCAAGUGAUUUUAUCACACGCACUAUGACAUCUCUGUUAGUGUGGAUAUGCAAAGUUAAUGUGACUAAUACCCAAGCUGCUGAGAAGUCUUCAGCCAAAGCAGCGUGUAGCUUGCUUCUUUCUAAGAAUACUGAGGACCAACACUUAAUUCUGAAAAAUCUACUCCCAUUUAUUAAUGGAUGUGCAACUAAUUCCUUAAUAUAAGUAAAUUGCUGGUGAAACGUGCUGGGCUAGGAAGCUUGAAAUUGUCUCAGAAUGAGCAGUAUGGCUUCAUCCUUAUGUCAGGGAAUCAAAGGAUAAAUCCAGCUUUCCAGUGUGUGGAAGGGAGAAAUUAGGACUGGUUUUGAACUAUUGCAUGGUCUGACAUUCUGUAGAGUGGAAGUGAAUGGGAUUAAUGUCUGCUAUUCCUGAAAUACAGCCACUUCCGAGAUGAAAUACAGUAUGUAUUUCAUAGUUCAAAUGAGUACAAUCAGAUCUUCAGGAAAGGAAGUGGAGGGAAACUCCUCAGCUGAAACCACAGAGGGAAUUAACCAAAUUGGGAUGUGGAUAGAGCAUUGCAGCUCCUACUUAAAAUUAAAUGCUCUUUGGUUGUUUCUGAAGACCACAGUAACAUUAAUUACUGCCAUUAGAAAUUUUGCCAUUACCUCUUACAUAAAUACUUUCUUCCAAGAAUCUACAAAUCUCUUUAUAAAGGGGGUCUUAUCUUUAUCUCUGUUUUACAGGUGUGAAAAUGAGGAACAGAAAUUGAACAUCAUCCAAGAGUGGCAUAACUGGAAAUCAAAAUCCACAUCUGCUUCGUCAUGGCCUCGGUGUAGGGAUUGCCUGGCCACACAUCCGAACAAUGCCUUCUGAGCCAGCCAUGAGAUUUUCCUGCAGGAAAUGAAGAACUGGAUGUGCAGACACAGCUGUCCCUCAAGCAAGAGGCCCUUUCUGUUUGCCCUCACUCAUUUGUCAUCCCAUGACCUGCACUGCAGGCAGAAGGAAAGAAAACUCUUGGGCUGGUUCAAAGUUGGUGUUUCUAUCCAAAAUCCAGAAAUAGAUACUGUAAAUAACACUCGUGAUGCAGUCCUUUAGUGCUGCAGAGAAAGACUAUGCUGUAAUUACUUCCAGUGGGACAGAAAAUCUGUUAGUGCUUGUAUGCUGUAAGAGGGAAGGAGAACGUGUGUGCCCACCACCCCUUUGCCAGGUUGGGCUUUGCUCGAGGUGUUAUAGCUACUGCCCUACCCCAUGCUCCCAACCCUUGGUUCUGCACCCAUCUCGUGGAUUGCUGAAACAGGAGUGAAAAUGAGACCGCACAGAAGGAGCCCUUGAAUACGUGCCUAUCUCCGUAUCAGCACCCGCUUGGAGUAACACAAGAGGUACAAAGAAUGUCCUGCAGGCAGAGAGAGACUGCAGCUAUUUCACAUGGACAGGGGAGAUAAUCAGUGAAUUGAUGGUCCUUGUGGAAUGGACUUAGGCACUUACAGAAAUCUACACUUGGAUGAUUUUUUUGUUUAUUUUUGAAUAUUUCCUGACAGCUGGUGCUGGAAUUUUUGUUCUCUGUCGAGUAAACCCCUCUUAUUGCCCUUGUUAGAUACAAGCAGAUGAACCGUGCAGCUAGCAGGCAGCAUGCAGAGCAUUUGGGGGGGGGGGGGGGAAACUGCCCCUUACUAGAUGUGCUGUUACAGGCCGGAGUUGUAAAAAUAAAUAAAAUAAAAAAAUAUAUUAAUAAUAAAGU
RNAcentral lists this long non-coding RNA (1895 nucleotides) under Anas platyrhynchos platyrhynchos (common mallard). Its description in RNAcentral is "lncRNA (ENSAPLG00000025624.1)". Lineage: Eukaryota; Metazoa; Chordata; Aves; Anseriformes; Anatidae. The record is from RNAcentral.